GACAUCACUUUGGGUUUUGUUUAAUGUCCAAGUUUCUGAAAAUUCCUUUUUUUGUUGCUGUUAUUUUGUAGAUUGGAAAGAUGUUCUGAUCUUGAUCUUAUAGUUGUUGUAUGAUAGAUAAACUUUCCUAUGUUGGCUUUUUCUUGUUUAUUGUUUCAUGGGUAGUGGUCAACGUGUCUUGAACUUGCAACUCUUUAGCCUUCAGCAAAUUUUGCUUCUGCAAAAUGAAAAAGAAAGAGGGAAUGACAUGUAUUCAACAGAUUUAGGAAGAAAUAUCGCUUUUUAUUUGAGGAGGAGCUUCCUGCCAAAAAAGACGAACUACAGAAGCAAAUUAAGAAAUCUAAGGACCCAAAAACCAUUGAAGAACUAAAGAAACAUAUCUCUUUGAUUGAUAAACAGCUAAAUUCUGAGUCAGCUAAGUGUACUGAAGCUGCAAUACUGACUGAGCACAAGAAAAAAGAGAGAAAAAGCAGCAAAGGAAGGGAAGCAACCCUUUUUUCUUAAGAAAUGUUAUGCCCUUUCUUGCUGCCUCUCUACCACUGUGCGCAUGUUCAUCUGUCUCCGGUUCAAAAUACUUCUAGUCAGUACAUACGAGAUGCAAGGAA
Pyrus x bretschneideri (Chinese white pear) is the source of this 605-nucleotide long non-coding RNA. RefSeq lists it as uncharacterized. NCBI's taxonomy places the organism in Eukaryota, Viridiplantae, Streptophyta, Magnoliopsida, Rosales, Rosaceae. The record is from RefSeq and is a predicted model, not a curated record. The transcript is spliced from 3 exons.